RNAcentral lists this small RNA (127 nucleotides) under Marmota monax (woodchuck). The record is from RNAcentral. Lineage: Eukaryota; Metazoa; Chordata; Mammalia; Rodentia; Sciuridae.
GCUGGGCAUGGUGGAGCAUGCCUAUAAUCCCAGUGGCUCAGGAGGCUAAGGCAGGGGAAUCAUGAGUUGAAAGUCAACCUCAGCAACUUAUCAAAGCCCUAAGCAACUUAGCAAGACCCUGUCUUUA